This 253-nucleotide ribosomal RNA is filed under the name uncultured bacterium. RNAcentral describes it as "partial 16S ribosomal RNA". It matches the Rfam family "Bacterial small subunit ribosomal RNA", at positions 524 to 776 of the family's 1533-position model. The record is from RNAcentral.
UACGCAGGGGGCUAGCGUUGCUCGGAAUCACUGGGCGUAAAGCGCACGUAGGCGGCUUUUUAAGUCAGAGGUGAAAUCCUGGAGCUCAACUCCAGAACUGCCUUUGAUACUGGAGAGCUUGAGUCCGGGAGAGGUGAGUGGAACUGCGAGUGUAGAGGUGAAAUUCGUAGAUAUUCGCAAGAACACCAGUGGCGAAGGCGGCUCACUGGCCCGAUACUGACGCUGAGGCACGAAAGCGUGGGGAGCAAACAGG